UAGGGAAUCUUCGGCAAUGGACGAAAGUCUGACCGAGCAACGCCGCGUGAGUGAAGAAGGUCUUCGGAUCGUAAAACUCUGUUGUUAGAGAAGAACAAGGACGUUAGUAACUGAACGUCCCCUGACGGUAUCUAACCAGAAAGCCACGGCUAACUACGUGCCAGCAGCCGCGGUAAUACGUAGGUGGCAAGCGUUGUCCGGAUUUAUUGGGCGUAAAGCGAGCGCAGGCGGUUUCUUAAGUCUGAUGUGAAAGCCCCCGGCUCAACCGGGGAGGGUCAUUGGAAACUGGGAGACUUGAGUGCAGAAGAGGAGAGUGGAAUUCCAUGUGUAGCGGUGAAAUGCGUAGAUAUAUGGAGGAACACCAGUGGCGAAGGCGGCUCUCUGGUCUGUAACUGACGAUGAGGCUCGAAAGCGUGGGGAGCAAACAGG
Molecule: ribosomal RNA, 429 nt
Filed under: Gemmatimonadota bacterium
Lineage: Bacteria; Pseudomonadati; Gemmatimonadota
Description: Gemmatimonadetes bacterium partial 16S ribosomal RNA
Rfam family: Bacterial small subunit ribosomal RNA
Source: RNAcentral